This 492-nucleotide ribosomal RNA is filed under the name uncultured bacterium. RNAcentral describes it as "partial 16S ribosomal RNA". It matches the Rfam family "Bacterial small subunit ribosomal RNA", at positions 29 to 507 of the family's 1533-position model. The record is from RNAcentral.
AGUGAACGCUGGCGGUAGGCCUAAUACAUGCAAGUCGAACGGCAGCACAGUAAGAGCUUGCUCUUACGGGUGGCGAGUGGCGGACGGGUGAGGAAUACAUCGGAAUCUACUUUUUCGUGGGGGAUAACGUAGGGAAACUUACGCUACUACCGCAUAUGAUCUACGGGUGAAAGCAGGGGAUAUUCGGACCUUGCGUGAUUGAAUGAGCCGAUGUCGGAUUAGCUAGUUGGCGAGGUAAAGGCCCACCAAGGCGACGAUCCGUAGCUGGUCUGAGAGGAUGAUCGGCCACACUGGAACUGAGACACGGUCCAGACUCCUACGGGAGGCAGCAGUGGGGAAUAUUGGGCAAUGGGCGCAAGCCUGAUGCAGCCAUGCCGCGUGGGUGAAGAAGGCCUUCGGGUUGUAAAGCCCUUUUAUUGGGAAAGAAAAGAAGCGGAUGAAUACCCCGCUGUUCUGACGGUACCCAAAGAGUAAGCACCGGCUAACUUCGUG